CCUACGGGUGACAGCAGUAGGGAAUUUUGCGCAAUGGGCGAAAGCCUGACGCAGCAACGCCGCGUGAUCGAGACGCCCUUCGGGGUGUAAAGCUCUGUCAGUUGGGACGAAACUUGACGGUAUCCACAGAGCAAGCACCGGCCAACUCCGUGCCCGCAGCAGCGGUGAUACGGGGGGUGGAAGCGUUGUCCGGAAUCAUUGGGCGUAAAGAGUUCGUAGGCGGGACGUAAAGUCUGGUGUUAAAGGCAGAGGCUCAAAUUCUUUACGGCACUGGCAACGUGGGGGCUGGAAUGCAGGAGAGGUAAAGGGAAUUCCUAGUGUAGCGGUGAAAUGCGUAGAUAUCAGGAGGAACAUCAGUGGCGUAAGCGCUUUACUGGGCCGUAAUUGACGCUGAGGAACGAAAGCCAGGGGAGCAAAUGGGAUUAGAUACCCGUGUAGUC
RNAcentral lists this ribosomal RNA (440 nucleotides) under uncultured bacterium. Its description in RNAcentral is "partial 16S ribosomal RNA". It matches the Rfam family "Bacterial small subunit ribosomal RNA", at positions 338 to 795 of the family's 1533-position model. The record is from RNAcentral.